This 1036-nucleotide ribosomal RNA is filed under the name uncultured bacterium. RNAcentral's name for it is "bacterial SSU rRNA". It matches the Rfam family "Bacterial small subunit ribosomal RNA", at positions 336 to 1393 of the family's 1533-position model. The record is from RNAcentral.
CUCCUACGGGAGGCAGCAGUGGGGAAUAUUGCACAAUGGGGGAAACCCUGAUGCAGCGACGCCGCGUGAAGGAAGAAGUAUCUCGGUAUGUAAACUUCUAUCAGCAGGGAAGAUAGUGACGGUACCUGACUAAGAAGCCCCGGCUAACUACGUGCCAGCAGCCGCGGUAAUACGUAGGGGGCAAGCGUUAUCCGGAUUUACUGGGUGUAAAGGGAGCGUAGACGGACUGGCAAGUCUGAUGUGAAAGGCGGGGGCUCAACCCCUGGACUGCAUUGGAAACUGUUAGUCUUGAGUGCCGGAGAGGUAAGCGGAAUUCCUAGUGUAGCGGUGAAAUGCGUAGAUAUUAGGAGGAACACCAGUGGCGAAGGCGGCUUACUGGACGGUAACUGACGUUGAGGCUCGAAAGCGUGGGGAGCAAACAGGAUUAGAUACCCUGGUAGUCCGCACGGUAAACGAUGGAUGCCCGCUGUUGGUCUGAAUAGGUCAGCGGCCAAGCGAAAGCAUUAAGCAUCCCACCUGGGGAGUACGCCGGCAACGGUGAAACUCAAAGGAAUUGACGGGGGCCCGCACAAGCGGAGGAACAUGUGGUUUAAUUCGAUGAUACGCGAGGAACCUUACCCGGGCUUGAAUUGCAGAGGAAGGAUUUGGAGACAAUGACGCCCUUCGGGGCCUCUGUGAAGGUGCUGCAUGGUUGUCGUCAGCUCGUGCCGUGAGGUGUCGGCUUAAGUGCCAUAACGAGCGCAACCCCUCUCCUUAGUUGCCAUCAGGUCAUGCUGGGCACUCUGGGGACACUGCCACCGUAAGGUGUGAGGAAGGUGGGGAUGACGUCAAAUCAGCACGGCCCUUACGUCCGGGGCUACACACGUGUUACAAUGGCAGGUACAGAGAGACGGUCCCUUGCAAAACGGAUCAAAUCCUUAAAGCCUGUCUCAGUUCGGACUGGGGUCUGCAACCCGACCCCACGAAGCUGGAUUCGCUAGUAAUCGCGCAUCAGCCAUGGCGCGGUGAAUACGUUCCCGGGCCUUGUACACACCGC